This 118-nucleotide ribosomal RNA is filed under the name Petromyzon marinus (sea lamprey). The record is from RNAcentral. Lineage: Eukaryota; Metazoa; Chordata; Hyperoartia; Petromyzontiformes; Petromyzontidae.
GUCUGUGCGAAUCGCCCUUACCUCACCCGAUUCUGUCGGAUCUUGGAAGCUACGCAGGUUUUAGCCUGGUUAGUACUUCGAUGGUAGACGGCCUGCGAAUACCAAGACGUUGUGGGCU